This 331-nucleotide unclassified non-coding RNA is filed under the name Hevea brasiliensis (rubber tree). The record is from RNAcentral. Lineage: Eukaryota; Viridiplantae; Streptophyta; Magnoliopsida; Malpighiales; Euphorbiaceae.
GCCAGCCCCGAUUUCUUACGCAGCAUAUUCCUGCAAUAGUCAAUUGGUCUACGCUACAUUUUGCGAUGGUAACAUUGGAGUGUUCGAUGCCGAUACCCUGCGACUAAGAUGUCGUAUCGCCCCUUCUGUGUACCUCCCACCUGCAGUGUUGAAUUCAAGCCAAGCUGCAUACCCGCUUGUUGUUGCCACACAUCCGUUAGACCCGAACCAAUUAGCCAUCGGGUUGACCGAUGGAUCAGUUAAAGUGAUUGAGCCAACAGAAUCAGAGGGGAAAUGGGGAGUAAGUCCACCGAUGGACAAUGGAAUCCUGAACGGUAGAACGGCUUCAUCG